This 254-nucleotide unclassified non-coding RNA is filed under the name uncultured Acidimicrobiia bacterium. RNAcentral describes it as "contains 16S-23S intergenic spacer region". It matches the Rfam family "Bacterial small subunit ribosomal RNA", at positions 524 to 776 of the family's 1533-position model. Lineage: Bacteria; Bacillati; Actinomycetota; Acidimicrobiia. The record is from RNAcentral.
UACGUAGGGGGCGAGCGUUGUUCGGAUUUAUUUGGCGUAAAGAGCUCGUAGGCGGUUUAGCAAGUCGGGUGUGAAAACUCCGGGCUCAACUCGGAGAGGCCUCUCGAUACUGCUAUGAAUCGAGUCCGGUAGGGGAGUGCGGAAUUCCUGGUGUAGCGGUGAAAGGCGCAGAUAUCAGGAGGACCACCGGGGGCGAAGGCGGCACUCUGGGCCGGUACUGACGCUGAGGAGCGAAAGCGUGGGGAGCGAACAGG